RNAcentral lists this ribosomal RNA (1014 nucleotides) under Pseudoniphargus multidens. RNAcentral describes it as "16S ribosomal RNA". The stretch from base 619 to 971 matches the Rfam family "Archaeal large subunit ribosomal RNA", at positions 2150 to 2716 of the family's 2987-position model. The record is from RNAcentral. Lineage: Eukaryota; Metazoa; Arthropoda; Malacostraca; Amphipoda; Allocrangonyctidae.
UAUUGCUUUUAUUUUUAUUUUAGAAAAGAAUAUAAAUAUUAGUACCUUUUGUAUCAGGGUUGUUUAAUUAAAAAAGAUAGUCUAUAUUUCUCGAUAUUAAGUGAAUUAAAUAGUGAGGCUAAAGUAUUGAAUAACUAUGCCAAUUUAUUUAGUAGUGAAAAUUUUUCGUAGUUAAAGAUAUCUUGUUAUAGUAGGCAUUAAUAGAAGGGAUAAGCUUUUUAUUAUGGUAUAUUGUGUCUUAUUUUAUGAUAAAUUAGGCUUAAAAUUAGCCGUAUUAUUAAUUUGUUUUAAAUUUUUUAUAGGGGGGGGUAUAAUUUAUUAUUUAUUAAUAUAACUAAAAGUGACAAUGAAUUAUAAGGUAUAAUGAAUAAAUUAGUAUUUUUUAUUUUCUGUGGCAUAUAACUCGAUAUUCAUAGAAUAGUUUAUCAAAAACAUUUUUUUAUGGGUAUAAAAUAAAGCCUGCCCAGUGUUAAGAUAAACGGCUGCGGUAUUUUGACUGUGCUAAGGUAGCAUAAUAAUUUGUUUUUUAAUUGAAAACUGGGAUGAAGGGUUUUAUCUAUGAUUAAAUUAGCGGCAGAGUGAAUAAUUUAUGUUUGUAGUUAAAACACUACAAUUUUAUAAAGUGACGAUAAGACCCUAUAAGCUUUAUUUAUAGAGUAAGCAUGGCUAAUAAUUUAAGGUUCUUUUACUCACCGAAUUUUGCUGGGGCAGUAAUGUUAUCUAAUUUAAUAUAAGUUAACACAUAUAUGUGAAUUUAUGGUCUUUCUAUGAAGAUAAGUAGUAAAAGUUACUGUAGGGAUAACAGCGCAAUGAUUUUGGAGAGGCCUUAUUGAUAGAAUUGAUUGCGACCUCGAUGUUGAAUUAAAAUUUCUUUUUGCUGCAGGAGGUAUAGAAGAGGGUUUGUUCAACCUUUAAAAUUUUACAUGAUUUGAGUUCAAAUCGGUUUAAGCCAGAUUGGUUUCUAUCUUUUAUAUAACAUAAUUUAUGUAAGUACGAAAGGGACACAUAGGUUUU